Molecule: ribosomal RNA, 481 nt
Filed under: uncultured bacterium
Lineage: Bacteria
Description: bacterial SSU rRNA
Rfam family: Bacterial small subunit ribosomal RNA
Source: RNAcentral
AUUGAACGCUGGCGGCAUGCCUUACACAUGCAAGUCGAACGGCAGCACGGGCUUCGGCCUGGUGGCGAGUGGCGAACGGGUGAGUAAUGCAUCGGAACGUACCCAGUCGUGGGGGAUAACGUAGCGAAAGUUACGCUAAUACCGCAUACGACCUGAGGGUGAAAGUGGGGGAUCGCAAGGCCUCACGCGAUUGGAGCGGCCGAUGCCGGAUUAGCUAGUUGGUGGGGUAAGAGCCCACCAAGGCGACGAUCCGUAGCGGGUCUGAGAGGAUGAUCCGCCACACUGGGACUGAGACACGGCCCAGACUCCUACGGGAGGCAGCAGUGGGGAAUUUUGGACAAUGGGGGCAACCCUGAUCCAGCCAUGCCGCGUGGGUGAAGAAGGCCUUCGGGUUGUAAAGCCCUUUCGGGCGGAAAGAAAUCGCCCUCUUUAACAGAGGGGGUGGAUGACGGUACCGCAAGAAGAAGCACCGGCUAACUAA